Molecule: transfer RNA, 65 nt
Filed under: Triodia stipoides
Lineage: Eukaryota; Viridiplantae; Streptophyta; Magnoliopsida; Poales; Poaceae
Description: tRNA-Thr
Source: RNAcentral
CUUUUUCCUUAGUGGUCGAGUAAUGCCACGGCAAGACCGAAGUCAUCGGUUCGAAUCCGAUAGAG